ACAGAGCUGAGAGCCACUUCCAAGCUCAAGAGGAACAUGAGCUUGAAGCUGUGGGGAAGAAAGCCUGGGACAAUCCAGUUUACAAUGGGUCCCCCUCUAGCUCCCUGAAGAUCCGAGCCAUCUACAACCCCAAGUCCAUCCUGGAGAACCCCUAUGAGAAUAUUGAUAAGGUGGGCGACUCCCUUCCCUACCCAGAGGAAAGAAAUAAGUCUGAGGAGGUAAAGAAGAGCUCUAUCCCCAGAUGCUGCUUGUAUGUCUUCAGAGGAAUCCGAGGGCUUUGGGGUACAACCUUGACUGAAAAUACAGCUGAAAACAGAG
This 318-nucleotide long non-coding RNA is filed under the name Crocodylus porosus (Australian saltwater crocodile). RNAcentral's name for it is "lncRNA (ENSCPRG00005000652.1)". Lineage: Eukaryota; Metazoa; Chordata; Crocodylia; Crocodylidae. The record is from RNAcentral.